AACUUCUGAAUGUUGACCUCGGAUCAGGUAGGAAUACCCGCUGAACUUAAGCAUAUCAAUAAGCGGAGGAAAAGAAACCAACAGGGAUUGCCCUAGUAACGGCGAGUGAAGCGGCAACAGCUCAAAUUUGAAAUCUGGCUCUCGGGCCCGAGUUGUAAUUUGUAGAGGAUACUUUUGAUGCGGUGCCUUCCGAGUUCCCUGGAACGGGACGCCAUAGAGGGUGAGAGCCCCGUCUGGUUGGAUGCCAAAUCUCUGUAAAGUUCCUUCAACGAGUCGAGUAGUUUGGGAAUGCUGCUCUAAAUGGGAGGUAUAUGUCUUCUAAAGCUAAAUACCGGCCAGAGACCGAUAGCGCACAAGUAGAGUGAUCGAAAGAUGAAAAGCACUUUGAAAAGAGAGUUAAAAAGUACGUGAAAUUGUUGAAAGGGAAGCGUUUAUGACCAGACUUG
RNAcentral lists this ribosomal RNA (446 nucleotides) under Fusarium oxysporum. Its description in RNAcentral is "eukaryotic LSU rRNA". It matches the Rfam family "Eukaryotic large subunit ribosomal RNA", at positions 1 to 437 of the family's 3401-position model. Lineage: Eukaryota; Fungi; Ascomycota; Sordariomycetes; Hypocreales; Nectriaceae. The record is from RNAcentral.